Molecule: non-coding RNA, 388 nt
Organism: Peromyscus maniculatus bairdii (prairie deer mouse)
Lineage: Eukaryota; Metazoa; Chordata; Mammalia; Rodentia; Cricetidae
Source: RefSeq, a predicted model, not a curated record
UCACUGCGGGUAACUAGGAGAAACCUCCCCAUCCCUAGCUUUAGGGCGGAACCGUGAACACCGGCUGUGGCCAGUGAGGAGGAACCUGCAUCACAUCCUGGAAGUUCCAUCGUCAUGAGCUUGUGUCUCCAAAGGCCAUGCUGCUGCUUCAUCAGCUGCAGGAUGGCGGGAGGUGCCAGUGAAGACUGGGCAGAGUUCCUGACUCUGGGUUAGGGUUGGCCGUGGAGUAAGGAGCAAGUUUUUGCAGAUGGGCAAGGAGGCUGGCUGCAUCUGGACUUCCACAGGCCCUGGACUCCCGCAGACCCCAGGCUCCUGCAGACCCCAGACUCCCGCAGACCCCAGGCUCCUGCAGACCCCGGACUCCCACAGACCCCAGGCUCCUGCAGAC